GGUUUCCACCUUCGAGCCCAAUGCCAAGCCCUCGUCAAGCCCUCGAUGUCCGACCACAGACCCACGUUUGUAAAUCAUCUCCAUUGUCCCUUCCUUUUCGUCUCUCCCUCACUUCCCCCCUCGGUCUUUCUUUUUCACAUCUGUCAACCGAUGUCGCCCCUUACACGCUAGGUUUCCACACGACGCCGUCAUUGGCGAUAAGCUCCUACCUCGGUCUCUCUCUCUCUCUCUCUCCUCUUUGUCCGUUUCUCUGUUUUCUUUCUCUUAAAUCCGCAAUUGUCACAAGCCAUCCCUGUCGCAUCCCAAAACCCUACACCGCCAGCAUGUGGUCAUCACCUGAUGUUGUCGACAGAAACUCCACCGCAUUGUCACCAUAACCCAGUCAAAUGGAAGUUUCACGCUGUCAAGCCAAAUCGUACAUUGCACACCCCUACCCAUAAACUCGAGAUGGGUCAAGCUGGAUAGUAGGUGACAAUCGUUAUUUACUGGCACUGUUAUGAGGAAAUUCAGAGAAGUUGAAAAGUUUAGGUAAGCGGUGCUCCUAUACCAGACUUUGUCUAAACGGACUGGGAUUGAUUUUAUAAAAAACUUGUAUAUUUUAUUAUGGAACAUUCGAAACAACCUCGGUCAUUUUUCUGCAUAACUCUUUGUAUCCAAAUAACCAAAUAACAUACUUUAUGUCUUGAUUGGUCAUGUAGACACGAGCAUUUCUUGCAUUAUGUUCUAAACUAUAUAAAAAAAGUGUAUAUGAAAUCUGAAAUUUUGUACAUGGUUAUAUAAAUAUGAUCUAUAUAUAAUGUUCAGUACUCUAUUAUGAUAAGGUGUUGCAUUUGAAAUGCACUCUGGCAUGACCUUUUAUUUCUGUUUUCGUUCCAACCUUACCACUAGUGUAAAACUAUGGCAUAUGUUAUUGUGUUUGUAUCAACAUCUUUGUUUCUGAGUGCAUUCACUUUGGAAACAAGGUGAUUUUCUGUGUGGUCUUUCCUAUGUGCACACUUGAGGCUCCAAGAAUGAUGGAGGGAAGAUUUCACUUCUCUUUCCACCCGGUUUGGCCACUAGGGAUAGCACAACCCUACCACGAGGGUUAAACAUAGUUUAUAUUCUGAUAUGAUGCUGCUCAAUUAUGUUAUGCCUAAGGACUUUUGUAUAUAAAUAUUUCUUAACUCUCACUUUGAUAUUUUGAUAAUAUAUUUUGUUCUACAUUUUAUAGCUGGCUUAUAUUUACAUAAUAGUAUAUGUUUACUACUUACUAAGUUAUUGAUAAAUCACCCAAUUAUCUUCAAUAAGAAGUGUGAGCGAGACUAGUUGGGCAUAGUGGAUUUAGUACCAAAGGGUAUUAUGGAUUGUUGGAGAGUCUUAUUAUGUAGAUUUGAUUUUUGUUGAUUUGGUAUUUGGGAUGUUGAGACUUCUUGGAGUUGCUGAUUAAUUUUGUUAGAAUGUUUCCUUGAUGUCCUUGUAGAGGAACAUGCAUGUUUAGUUUGAACUAAUGAGAUUAUGUUUUAUGGAAUCAUUGGAGUAUGUAUUGUUUGGAGAUGAUUUUUAGGUAGCAGAAACUAACUCUUUGACCUUCCGAAUAUGGGACGUUACACGACAUGCAGCAAAGGUACUGUAUCAGAUAUCUCAUUAUAUGCCAAAACCCAUAGUAUCAAACGGCAAAGUUGGAGGAAUUUUUUGCAAAUCAUUUUCUUCAAACUCUUCUAGGACAACAUUACCCUAAGGUUUGUAAUUAUUCAUAUUGUCGAGUUCAAAAAACGUUGCAUUUGGGGUUGAAAAUACCUUUUAUAGGUGGACUUAACAAUCCGCCUAAUUUCUUUCACAAAAACAGAUUCACUAUAGAAUUGCUUGCAAUAGAUAUAUGUAUACGAUAAUGAUAGAGGCACGGGGUCUAUGUACACGAGACAGAUUCAAAAAUAAUAUUCUUACUAUUCAAAUUAAUAAUGAAAAUACUGUUCAUGAACAUCGCAUCUUUAGCAAAUUUGUAUAGGUGUAUAGCUUUAUUUAUUCUCCAAUUAUGUCGAGCCAAUAAUAGCUUUAUUUAAUGCUAGCUUUGUUAGCAUGAAAUCAAAUUUGUGCUUAUUUGGACGAGUCAGUGCAUCAUAAUUUUCCAUAUGAUGUAUCAAAUGAUUGGAAAGUUAUCGUUUUUUUUUUAAUUCAACUAUUAAUUAUUUGAUAACACAUUAUAUAUUUAUGUAAUCUGCAAUUUUUUGGGCAGUUAAGAUAGUUU
Molecule: long non-coding RNA, 2224 nt
Organism: Juglans regia (Persian walnut)
Lineage: Eukaryota; Viridiplantae; Streptophyta; Magnoliopsida; Fagales; Juglandaceae
Exons: 3
Source: RefSeq, a predicted model, not a curated record